RNAcentral lists this ribosomal RNA (497 nucleotides) under uncultured bacterium. RNAcentral describes it as "partial 16S ribosomal RNA". It matches the Rfam family "Bacterial small subunit ribosomal RNA", at positions 28 to 507 of the family's 1533-position model. The record is from RNAcentral.
GAUGAACGCUGGCGGCGUGCCUAAUACAUGCAAGUCGAGCGAACAGACGAGGAUCUUGCUCCUCUGACGUUAGCGGCGGACGGGUGAGUAACACGUGUAUAACCUACCUAUAAGACUGGGAUAACUUCGGGAAACCGGAUCUAAUACCGGAUAAUAUAUUGAACCGCAUGGUUCAAUAGUAAAAGACGGUUUUGCUGUCACUUAUAGAUGGAUCCGCGCCGCAUUAGCUAGUUGGGAAGGUAACGGCUUACCAAGGCAACGAUGCGUAGCCGACCUGAGAGGGUGAUCGGCCACACUGGAACUGAGACACGGUCAAGACUCCUACGGGAGGCAGCAGUAGGGAAUCUUCCGCAAUGGGCGAAAGCCUGACGGAGCAACGCCGCGUGAGUGAUGAAGGUCUUCGGAUCGUAAAACUCUGUUAUUAGGGAAGAACAAAUGUGUAAGUAACUAUGCACGUCUUGACGGUACCUAAUCAGAAAGCCACGGCUAACUACGUG